AGUGAACGCUGGCGGUAGGCCUAACACAUGCAAGUCGAACGGCAGCACAGUAAGAGCUUGCUCUUACGGGUGGCGAGUGGCGGACGGGUGAGGAAUACAUCGGAAUCUACUUUUUCGUGGGGGAUAACGUAGGGAAACCUACGCUAAUACCGCAUACGACCUACGGGUGAAAGCAGGGGAUCUUCGGACCUUGCGCGAUUGAAUGAGCCGAUGUCGGAUUAGCUAGUUGGCGGGGUAAAGGCCCACCAAGGCGACGAUCCGUAGCUGGUCUGAGAGGAUGAUCGGCCACACUGGAACGGAGACACGGUCCAGACGCCUACGGGAGGCAGCAGUGGGGAAUAUUGGACAAUGGGCGCAAGCCUGAUCCAGCCAUACCGCGUGGGUGAAGAAGGCCUUCGGGUUGUAAAGCCCUUUUGUUGGGAAAGAAAAGCAGCAGGUUAAUACCCCGCUGUUCUGACGGUACCCAAAGAAUAAGCACCGGCUAACUUCGUG
This 492-nucleotide ribosomal RNA is filed under the name uncultured bacterium. RNAcentral's name for it is "partial 16S ribosomal RNA". It matches the Rfam family "Bacterial small subunit ribosomal RNA", at positions 29 to 507 of the family's 1533-position model. The record is from RNAcentral.